AUUGAACGCUGGCGUCAGGCCUAACACAUGCAAGUCGAACGAGUGUCUGACGGGUGAGUAAUGUCUGGGAAACUGCCCGAUUGUGGGUGAUAACUACUGGAAACGUUAGCUAAUACCGCAUACCAUCGGAUGUGCCCAGAUUGGAUUAGCUAGUAGGUGGGGUAACGGCUCACCUAGGAGACGAUCCCUAGCUGGUCUGAGAGGAUGACCGGCGACGCGGGAAAUGAGAAACGGUCAAGACGCGUACGGGAGGGAGCAGGGGGGAAUAAGGCACAGUGGGCGCAGGCCAGAUGAAGCCAUGCCGCGUGGAGGAGGAAGGCAUUAGGGUUUUAAAAGACUUACGGCGAGGAGGCGUUACUCGCAGAAGAAGCACCGGCUAACGCCGUGCCAGCAGCCGCGGUAAUAC
Molecule: ribosomal RNA, 406 nt
Filed under: uncultured bacterium
Lineage: Bacteria
Description: partial 16S ribosomal RNA
Rfam family: Bacterial small subunit ribosomal RNA
Source: RNAcentral